AAGUAGGGCACACAAAAAAAGACAACCUGGUCUGUCAAGUGGCUGAAAGACAUCUACUAAGCCUUAUCUGAAUGUUCCUACCUAAUGAAACCUCUCCUGUCAGUCCAUGAGACUGAAGUUUAAGUCUUAAAGGCUCAUUUUCAAUAUCUCCUCAUGUAGUAGAAAUCCAGGAAGAGAUUUCUUUUGAGAACAAGCACAGCCUAUGUCCAUGUUGCUGAUGAAUUCACCUCUACGAGAAAUAACUGUCUUCCUUUCUGGGAACUGCAAAUAGUAGAAUAUAUUAAUUUUAUAUUUUUUUAUUCCUCUUUUAAAUGAAGGUAGUAAGACUCAAAACAUGAAGCUUGGACACAGAUGGAAAGGGACAUAAACUGACAAGAGUAAGCAAAGUCCAGAAUAGCAGGGAUCCAGUGACACCGGAUCUGUUCUGUGAAACUGGGUGGUACUGCUGGGACAGGCUGGGUAAAGGGAUUGAAGUGGAUAAACUUAAACUGGGGGAAUCCAUAAUGAGCCUUGUGAGCUGUAAGGAGAUUGAUAAAAAACACGCUGGAUGGAAAUUGUUGCUAUGGGUCUCAUCACACCAGCUGGGCACAUGAAUCUUUGCUGCCUCCUCCAGUUCUCUGACACACAAAUGACCUCAUCUGAGACACCCCUCUCCAUAAGCAGAGUCCAAGGGAGCAGAGGCAAUGGGCACACACUGAAAGGCAGGAGCUUCCCCCAUUUUCACUGUGGGGAUGACCGAGCACUGGCACAGGUAAGGCUGUGGAGUCUCCAUCCCUGGAGCUGUUGCUGGGCAGCUGCUGUGGGUGACACAGCUGGAGCAGGGGGGCUGGAUGAGGUGACCCCAGGGGCCCUUCCAGCCUCAGCCAUUCAGCGAUUCCGUGACACCAGAGGGUUUCACUCUACGCUUGCUGCUGCUGAGUGGGUGCUGUGUCACAAAUGCCUUAAACACAACUUCUGUACAUUCUCAAGAGUCACCGGUGAGAUAAUUGUUUGACUUGCUUGACUUCCUUGAGGACAAAUUAGAUUCUCCUCAUAUAUGCUUUACCUUUCCUUACAUUAUUAUCUUGCUCCUGUAGACCUUGUUCAAUGAGGCAAAAGCCCUGUGAUUUUAAUGACAAUAUUGCCAUAGUUACUGUAGGACUGUGCCCUAGAAAACCAUCAAACUUUUAUCUUCUUUUUUUUGUAAUUUCCAUUUUUGAGGCAAAUUACCUGUGGCGCUUCUCGCAGUUUAUUUAUGCUUCAGAGUGCAGGAAUACACAGCUUGCAGCUCUUUGGCUGCAAAACCCUUCACCCUGCUGAUAGCUGAUAUGAUUGAAACCCAAACACUGAUAUUCCUAACUCAUUGUUGAAUUUAGCCUGGUGCCUUGUGAGCAGCCAUCCAGCCUCUGCUCUCAGGUAUGACUGGAGUGGCCUCUGCUGUGCCAGCUUGACAGCUCUAGCCAACCUUGGCAGCCUCUGAGUUUUACAGCUGCUUUGCUUUAAAAGAGGGCUGUGAUGCUGGGACCAGAAUAAGUACAAAAUGUGUUACCAUCAGAUACACAAACAAAUCUCUGAGGCACAGGAGAUGUUCUUACAAUAAUGUUCUGCUCUGCUUGGUUCAGUCUUCUUGGUCUGAAACUUUUGGACUAUAACAGAAUUGGAGAUAAUUCAAAAGCUGGAAAAAUAAAUCUCUUCUCAGAGAUACUUGAUGUCAUUUUCAAUGAAAACUUAAUUAGUUUUCUCUCCCUGUGACCAAAAAGCAUGUCUUUUCUAUUGUCAGACCUGGAAAAAUUAUGAAACUUAAGCACAUGUUGUGAUGCUAAUGAAGCUUUGCCUUAGUUUCAAUCCACUCUAUGCAGAAGCAAUCAGACUAAAUCACACUCAGUAAAAAUAACCCACACCCAAAAAACCGAAACCAGCCCAAAAUCCUAUAUUCUCCUAUCUUUGAGGAAAGUAAGGAAAGAGUAAAAAAUUAAGAGGAUUUUUACUGUCCUUUGACCUCUAAACCACAUAGAAAUAAAUAUGUAAAUAAUAUUUAACCUAAAGUUGAUCACUCUUUUCUUCUUGUUGAUAUUUGACUUGUGCUCAAAAAGAGCAGCCAGAAGAAAAGUCCACUAUAGAAAAAGAAAUUGUGGUUUUUUCCAUGAAUGCUUAAGAGAGUCUUUGUUCACGUUCAUGAACUAUGUAACUCCUUAAAAAUAAUUCAUUUCACAUCAUGGUUUUUGUGGAAUAUCUGUGGAAACACUACACAUGGGGAUGCAGCUGUGAAAUACCUCCUGCUUUUUCUAAGCCAGUUUGAGAUAAUUAGGUGGAGAAAUAGCUAUUUCUAUUGUUCUUCUUUUUAAUAUAGAAAGAUGGAUGUGCACUUGAUUAAGAUAUGAACCAGAGGACAGGUUUAACUCUGAGAUAGCUAACUCAGAGUUAAGGUCAGUAUGGAAAGCUUUAGGAAAUACCAUCUUUUUAUGUCCAUGUACUUUCAUGCCAUGUGUAGAAUCUAAAUAAUUUCUUAUAUUCAUAUGGUAAAUAUGUGCAUGGUGAUAUUUCCUUUAUUGUACAGAUUUUACCUUUCCAGCUUGACAGAAUGUUGGGAUGGCUUCCCUCUAAGAGCAAGUGGGGAUGGUGUCUAAAUUGCUCUGAAUGUGUGCAGAGGGAAAAGGAGAGAGGAAUAACAUCUCCAAACUUUAUUAUGAUGAUGGAUGUGGAAGGCUGGUGAAUUUAUGCAGAUAGUCAAGGUUGCCUCUAAAGUAGGAUGUACCUCCUGCAGGCUGCAAGAGCAAGGCACAGGCACUUAGCAGGAAACAGAACAGAACAGGUGACCACUGAAACGAAGUUGUGUGUGGAUGCCUUAAUUGUUUUGUCGCACCCCUACUGAAUUCAAGUAACAAGCUGAUGAAAUGUCCAUGUUUAAGCUCAAAACAAGAUUGGAGUUAAUAAAAUAUCUUGGUGCAGAAGUGUUUGAACAUUUUAUCCUAAUAUUUAUUGCCAAAAUUAUUGCCUGUAAGCCCUUGACAUUGAACCUCCUCACUUUGUUAACUGCUUGACAAACGGAGAACACAACCGACUGUGUCUGCUGAAGAAUGCAAAUAUCAGAGAAGACAUAAAUACAGACACACCAAGGGCAGGCAAAAAAACCUGUCUGAAGAGAUUCUAAUGUUCACAGCCAGUGCAGCCAAAAUUAAGAACGAAAUUACUGAAGGGGAUGAGGGAUGAAAUAGGAGGAUCAGAGAAGCUGGAGGACUCCGGGUUAAGGAAGUUAAGGUGAAGAUCAGGGGGCUUCUGAAGAGCAGUGAGAAGCUGGACAGAAUUUAUGAAUAUGGAAGGGAUCUCAGUAAUGCCCUCCUCACUCACUAAACCAGUCAGAAAUUAAGAUGCUCUGACUUACACUGACAUUUAUCUCCUUCCACUGUUCUGAUUAAAAUUGGUCUACAGUUACUUGUAGCUUUGCAAUGUGUUGAAAUGAAGCAGGAAAAAAGUACUUUUGAGA
This 3463-nucleotide long non-coding RNA is filed under the name Taeniopygia guttata (zebra finch). RNAcentral describes it as "lncRNA (ENSTGUG00000028742.1)". Lineage: Eukaryota; Metazoa; Chordata; Aves; Passeriformes; Estrildidae. The record is from RNAcentral.